This 1420-nucleotide long non-coding RNA is filed under the name Salmo salar (Atlantic salmon). Its description in RNAcentral is "lncRNA (ENSSSAG00000082678.1)". The record is from RNAcentral. Lineage: Eukaryota; Metazoa; Chordata; Actinopteri; Salmoniformes; Salmonidae.
GUUGAAUUAGUCUAUAUGCCCAUAAUUUCAUUUGAAAUUCUCCAAAGCUUUUUUCUGUCAUAUUUUAUAUCAUUUAUCUUAGUUUCAUAAUACAGCGUUUCUUCUUCUUUUUGUUCAGUUUAGCCACAUAAUUUCUCGGUUUGCCAAUCAGAUGUGCAGACAGAUUUAUUAGCCACUCCUUUUGCGUCAUCUCUCUCAACCACACAGUUUUUCAGUUCCUCAUCAAUCCACGGCACCUUGGCAGAUCUAACAGUUCGUUUCUUAAUAGGGUUAUGUCUAUCAAUAACUGGAAGGAGAAAUUUCAUAAAUAUUUGUAGAUCUUUAGUUGUUGUGGAGCUUUUGUCCCGAACUCAUUACGGUGUUUUAGGUGCCAAGCUUAUUAUCAUGUCGCAGCUGUGUGUAGGAGGGAAAUUCCUAGAUGUGAGAAGUGUGCAUUAGGGCAUGAGACAAAGAAAUGUGUAGUGUUGGUGGAAAUAAAUGUUGUGUGUUAACUGUAGGGCACCUUAGUGGCACCUAGUGGCACCUGUAGUGGCACCUUCAUUGGGGAGAACAGGCUCGUGGUAAUGGCUGGAGCAGAAUCAGUGGAAUGGUAUCAAAUACAUGGAAACCAUGUGUUUGAUGCCAUUCCAUUUGCUCCGUUCAAAACAUUAUUAUGAGCCGUCCUCACCUCAGCAGUGUCCACUGUUGUAGGCACUGUUGUAGGGGUACCCAUGGUGCUGGAGUUCAGAAGUGUUGGUUAUGAACUAUACCGCAGAAAUGAAACGUGAAUCACAGAAAAUAGAUGUGGUGGCAGCUGCAUAGAAGGACUUGGGUCUAUGGGAUUUUACUGCAUUAGAGUUACAAGGUGUGUUCAACAAUAGUGUUCCGUUCUCCCAGUCUUCCAGCUUGGAGUAGAAUCAGAUAGGACCAAGUAGUGGAAUAGUGGUGAGGUUUUAAUGGGUGUAGGGUUAGUUGGUAUAGUGGUGAAGUUUUAAUGGGUGUAGGGUUAGUUGGUAUAGUGGUGAGGUUUUAAUGGGUGUAGGGUUAGUUGGUAUAGUGGUGAAGUUUUAAUGGGUGUAGGGUUAGUUGGUAUAGUGGUGAGGUUUUAAUGGGUGUAGAGUUAGUUGGUAUAGUGGUGAAGUUUUAAUGGGUGUAGGGUUAGUUGGUAUAGUGGUGAGGUUUUAAUGGGUGUAGGGUUAGUUGGUAUAGUGGUGAAGUUUUAAUGGGUGUAGGGUUAGUUGGUAUAGUGGUGAGGUUUUAAUGGGUGUAGGGUUAGUUGGUAUAGUGGUGAAGUUUUAAUGGGUGUAGGGUUAGUCAGUAGGGACAUUUGUCUUCCCUUUUCCCUUUUUGUGUCACAAAGUGCAAUGAAUUCACACUCCAGAACAGUAGGUGGCGGUGUACGCAUCCCUUCAGUUGGUUGCGAUCCAACAAUACAUAUUUG